Molecule: ribosomal RNA, 889 nt
Filed under: uncultured soil bacterium
Lineage: Bacteria
Description: bacterial SSU rRNA
Rfam family: Bacterial small subunit ribosomal RNA
Source: RNAcentral
UGCAGUCGACGAAUUGAGCUGGGAGCUUGCUUCUAGCAUGGUUAGUGGCGGACGGGUGAGUAACACGUAGGCAACCUGCCCUCAAGAUCGGGAUAACAUUCGGAAACGAAUGCUAAGACCGGAUACACAAUAUUGCCGCAUGGUGAGAUUGGGAAACACGGUGCAAGCUGUGGCUUGGGGAUGGGCCUGCGGCGCAUUAGCUAGUUGGUGGGGUAACGGCUCACCAAGGCGACGAUGCGUAGCCGACCUGAGAGGGUGAACGGCCACACUGGGACUGAGACACGGCCCAGACUCCUACGGGAGGCAGCAGUAGGGAAUCUUCCACAAUGGGCGAAAGCCUGAUGGAGCAACGCCGCGUGAGUGAGGAAGGCCUUCGGGUCGUAAAGCUCUGUUGCCAGGGAAGAAUAAGGGUGAGUUAACUGCUCAUCUGAUGACGGUACCUGAGAAGAAAGCCCCGGCUAACUACGUGCCAGCAGCCGCGGUAAUACGUAGGGGGCAAGCGUUGUCCGGAAUUAUUGGGCGUAAAGCGCGCGCAGGCGGCUCUUUAAGUCUGGUGUCUAAGUGCGGGGCUCAACCCCGUGAUGCACUGGAAACUGGGGAGCUUGAGUGCAGAAGAGGAGAGCGGAAUUCCACGUGUAGCGGUGAAAUGCGUAGAGAUGUGGAGGAACACCAGUGGCGAAGGCGGCUCUCUGGACUGUAACUGACGCUGAGGCGCGAAAGCGUGGGGAGCAAACAGGAUUAGAUACCCUGGUAGUCCACGCCGUAAACGAUGAGUGCUAGGUGUUGGGGGGUAUCAUGCCCUCGGUGCCGAAGUUUAACACAUUAAGCACUCCGCCUGGGGGAGUACGGUCGCAAGACUGAAACUCAAAGGAAUUGACGGGGACCCCGC